GUUCGCUGUGACGUCCCUUCCGGUGCGCCGCCAUUAGCUAACCAGGGUGCGGUAAGCAUUGUGUCGCAUUUCCUGAUUCUAGGUUUAAAGUCCUUUUUUGGGCAUUUUUAACUUUUGUUCAGACUCCAGGAGGCCGAGAUGCUUCAGAUCAUAAGAACUCUGCUGUGGAUGGUUCUGCUCUCCCUCUCAGAGUCAGUGACCAGAGGACUGGAUGUUACUGGAGAAGUUGGUGGAAACGUCCUCCUGCCCUGCAGCUUUAAGGAUCCCGUCCCACUGAACGUCUUCUGGAGAA
This is a long non-coding RNA of Cyprinodon tularosa, 292 nucleotides long. RefSeq lists it as uncharacterized. The record is from RefSeq and is a predicted model, not a curated record. The transcript is spliced from 3 exons. NCBI's taxonomy places the organism in Eukaryota, Metazoa, Chordata, Actinopteri, Cyprinodontiformes, Cyprinodontidae.